Molecule: ribosomal RNA, 1432 nt
Filed under: metagenome
Description: bacterial SSU rRNA
Rfam family: Bacterial small subunit ribosomal RNA
Source: RNAcentral
AGGGUUUGAUCCUGGCUCAGAGUGAACGCUGGCGGCGUGCUUAACACAUGCAAGUCGAACGAGCGACUCUUUUGCAGCAAUGCAAAAGGGAAGCGAGUGGCAGACGGGUGAGUAAUACAUGGGUAAUUUGCCUUUAGAAGGAAAAUAACUCCGAGAAAUCGGAGCUAAUAGUCCAUAAGACCACGAUUCUUCCUGCGAAGAAACGAGGUCAAAGCUCCGCAAGGGGCGUCUAGAGAUGAGCCUGUGGCCUAUCAGCUAGUUGGUGAGGUAAUGGCUCACCAAGGCAAAGACGGGUAUCCGGCCUGAAAGGGCGAUCGGACACACUGGAACUGAGACACGGUCCAGACUCCUACGGGAGGCAGCAGUGGGGAAUUUUGGACAAUGGGCGAAAGCCUGAUCCAGCAACGCCGCGUGAGGGAUGAAGGUCUUCGGAUUGUAAACCUCUUUUGUAGGGGACGAAUAAAUUGACGGUACCCUACGAAUAAGCCACGGCUAACUUCGUGCCAGCAGCCGCGGUAAUACAAAGGUGGCAAGCGUCGCUCGGAAUGACUAGGCGUAAAGCGCAGGUAGGUGGUUUGAUGUGUCUGUAAUGGAAUCUCCCGGCUUAACUGGGAGGGGUUUAUGGAAACUAUCGAGCUAGAGUGUGGGAGAGGAUGCUGGAAUUCCAGGUGUAGCGGUGAAAUGCGUAGAUAUCUGGAGGAACACCAAUGGCGAAAGCAGGCAUUUGGCCCAAUACUGACACUGAGCUGCGAAAGCUAGGGGAGCAAACAGGAUUAGAUACCCUGGUAGUCCUAGCCGUAAACGAUGUAGACUAGAUGUGGGGGGUAUCGACCCCCUCCGUGUCGACGCUAACGCAUUAAGUCUACCGCCUGGGGAGUACGGCCGCAAGGUUGAAACUCAAAGGAAUUGACGGGGACCCGCACAAGCGGUGGAGUAUGUGGUUUAAUUCGACUCAACGCGAAAAACCUUACCUGGGCUCGAACGACCGGUAGUAGUUCAGAUGAAAAUUUGAACCAACCGUAAAGUCGGAUGCCGGCCGAGGUGCUGCAUGGUUGUCGUCAGCUCGUGUCGUGAGAUGUUGGGUUAAGUCCCGCAACGAGCGCAACCCUCAUCCUAUGUUGCUAACCAGCAAUGGUGCACUCUUAGGAAACUGCCCACGAUGAGUGGGAGGAAGGUGAGGAUGACGUCAAAUCCCCAUGGCCCUUAUGUCCAGGGCUACACACGUACUACAAUGGUCAGUACAGAGGGCUGCAAUGCCGCAAGGUGGAGCCAAUCCCUAAAGCUGGCCUCAGUUCGGAUUGUGGGCUGAAAUUCGUCCGCAUGAAGGCGGAAUCGCUAGUAAUCGCGAAUCAGAAGGUCGCGGUGAAUACGUUCCCGGGUCUUGUACACACCGCCCGUCACACCACGAAAGUCCGUUGCAACAGAAGUACCC